Molecule: ribosomal RNA, 250 nt
Filed under: uncultured bacterium
Lineage: Bacteria
Description: partial 16S ribosomal RNA
Rfam family: Bacterial small subunit ribosomal RNA
Source: RNAcentral
UGGGGAAUCUUGCACAAUGGGCGAAAGCCUGAUGCAGCGACGCCGCGUGCGGGAUGAAGGCCUUCGGGUUGUAAACCGCUUUCAGCAGGGAAGAUAAUGACGGUACCUGCAGAAGAAGCCCCGGCCAACUACGUGCCAGCAGCCGCGGUAAUACGUAGGGGGCGAGCGUUGUCCGGAUUUAUUGGGCGUAAAGAGCUCGUAGGUGGUUUGGUAAGUCAAAUGUGAAAUCUCCACGCUCAACGUGGAGGGG